UUGGAAUUAGUUGACAGAGAAAUGAGGAUGGAGAAGAGGAAAGAAUAGGGGUUGUGGGACUCUUUAUAGAGAGUUGGGUGGUAUCGUUGUUUACUUAUGAAGCUGUUGUCUUGGAGUAUUAGAAGAUUAGGGAAGUUAGAGAAGAGGGGAAGGAUUAUGAAGCUCAUUUAUGAAAGAAAGGCUAAUGUUGUGCUUCUUCAGGAGACAGAGAAAGUUUCUAUUUCUGAGUUGAUCGAGGAUCAUUCACAGCUGGCUUCCAUUUGCAGAUUCCUCCCCAUCCUUCCAUGCAUCCAUCAGUUUUGAGGUAAGAGCAUUGUAGGGCAAGAGAAAUAUGGAUUUUAUGGUUGUGGGUUCUGAUGGGACUGCUGGGGGUUUACUUUGCAUUUGGGACCCAGACUUUUUUCAGUUAGUGGAUUGUUACAGUAAUACAAGAUUUAUUCUCCUAUCAGGUACUUUGUUGCACACCUUUAACUGUACUAUUUUGAAUGUAUAUGCACCAAAUUAGGUGAGUAGCAGAUGUAAUUUUUGGGACUCCUUGAUGAAGCUAGAAUCUGCAUUCCCAAAUCCAUGGUGAGAGGGUGGGUUGUUUCAGAAGAGAUAAGGGGAUGAUGGAUCUAAAUUCCUUCAUUGAGAGUUGUGAGUUGAACGAUUUACCAUUGCUAGGUAGGAAGUUCACAUGGUGCAAUGCUCAAGAUGGCGAGAGAUGGAGUAAGAUUGAUAGAAUUUUGCUUAAUCCAGAGUGGCUGCUAAAGUUCAAUUUUAAAUUAUGGGGUCUUCCAAGGCUUUUUUCUUAUCAUUGUCGUCUUUUGCUUAUAGAUGAUGAGAGGGAUUGGGGACCUAAACCUUUUAGGUUCAUUAACGCUUGGACUAUCCAUCCAAGUUUUCCCUCAUUAUUGGAAAAGGUUUGGCAGGAAGCUAGGAUUAAUGGGAGAGCUGGAUAUGUCUUGUUCCAAAAGCUAAAACUUUUGAAGGUGGAGCUGAAGAAAUGGAAUUCUAAAGUUUUUGGAAAUCUAUCAACAAAACUCAAAAAGACAGAGGAAGAAUUAGUUGCUCUAGACAUUCUGGCUGAAGGUAGACCUCUGGUUGAGGCUGAGAAAAUUGAAAGAAGAACAGUGAGAAGUGAAGUUUGGAAGCUUAGUAGAAUUGUGGAAUAGCUAUGGCAAUAGAAGUCUAGAGUAAACUGGACAAUUAAUGGGGACAAAAAUACUAAGUUUUUUCAUGUUAUGGCUAUCAGUAGGAGGAGUAGAAAUGCUAUUAAUUCCAUCACAGUUGAAGGUAAGGUUUUUGAGGAGCUAGCUAAGGUAAAGUAUGAGGUCUUACAACACUUCGAAAGACAGUUCUCUGAAAGCUGGGUAAGAAGACCAGUGUUAGGAGGGUUAUUUAAAUCAGUUUAAUCAAACUCUUUAUUUUAUGAUCUUGAAGCUGUGUUCUCUGAAGAUGAAAUAAGGGCAGCUGUUAAGGAGUGCAAUAGUGAUAAGGCUCCUGGCCUUGAUGGGUUUAAUCUCCUCUUUUUUCAAAAAUUCUGGAGGUCAGUUCAUCAUGAGGUCAUGCAUUUUUUGAGGGAUUUUUAUGCCACUAGCAGACUCCCUUAUGGGAUCAACAACUCAUUUAUCACUCUUGUCCCUAAGACUGAUAUUCCUCUUGGUUUGUCUGAUUGUAGACCCAUUAGUUUGGUGGGUAGUUUGUACAAGAUUCUCUUUAAAGUGUUGGCCCAUAGACUCAAGAGAGUUCUUCCUGAAGUUAUUGGAGAAACACAAUCUACUUUCUUGGGGGGAAGAAGUAUAUUGGAUGGGGUGUUUAUCGCUAAUGAAAUAGUUGAUGGCUGGAAAAAAAACUAAAAGGAAAGGUAUGAUUAUCAAACUUGACUUUGAGAAAGCUUAUGAUUCAAUUAAUUGGGAAUUCCUAUUCUCUAUGUUAUAUAAUUUUGGUUUUGGAUUAAAGUGGAUAUCCUGAAUGAGGGAAUGUAUCUCCACAACAAGGUUUUCUAUUUUAGUGAAUGGCUCACCCACAGAGGAGUUUUCACCACAGAAAGGUCUUAGACAAGUUGAUUCAUUAUCUCCUUUCCUCUUCAACAUAGUGGCAGAAGGUUUGAAUAUCUUAAUGAACAGAGCCCAUGCGCAAGGCAUCAUCAAGGGGGUAAAAGUGAGGGUAAAUAAGGUAGUAAUAUCCCAUCUCCAAUUUGACGAUGACUUCAUAAUAUUUUGUGAGGCUGAAAUGGAUCAAAUAGUGCACACAAAGAGGAUCCUACACUGCUUUGAAAUUCUGUUUGGAAUGAGAAUUAAUUUCCACAAGAGUGUGAUGUGUGGAGUUGGUGUAGAUGAGGCAACCUUGGUUUCUUUCGUAGAUACUCUGAAUUGCAAGGUUCAUGGCCUACCACUCAAAUUUUUGGGUCUUCCCUUAGGUGCUAAUCCAGGAAGGAAAUCAUCUUGGAAGCUAGUUUUGGAUAAAGUAAGAUCUAGGUUGGCUGGGUGGAAGAGAAGGCUCCUUUCCUUUGCAGAUAGAUUAACUUUAAUUAAGUCCGUGUUACUAUCUCUCUAUGUACUCUGCCUUCCAAUUUACUAUCUCUCUAUGUUCAAAAUGCCUUCUGGAGUGGUUAGAGAGAUUAAAAGGCUUGAAGUUUCUUUCCUAUGGGGUGGGAAUGGUUUAAAAAGGAAGGUUCAUCUGGUGAAAUGGGCUGAAGUAACCAAAAAUAUGAAUCAGGGUGGUUUGCGAAUUAAGAUAAUUAAGGAUGUCAAUGCAAGCUUAUUGUCUACAUGGUGGUGAAAAUUUGGAUGUGAAGUAAAUGCUCUAUGGAGAAGAUUGUUGUGCAACAAGUACAUGAUUGAAGAGAAUAAUUGGAUCCCACCUGUGAACUCAUCAUUUGGAUACUCUAGAAUUUGGAGAGAUGUUCUUGCCAUUGCAGGUCAUAAUCAACCUCUUGAGGAGUUCUAUUUGGUGCAGUUUCAGAUAAAGGUUGGAAAUGGGUGUAGAAUAAAGUUUUGGCAUAAUAAGUGGGUUAAUGAUAGGUGCCUUAAAGAUAAAUAUCCUAGACUCUUUAGUUUGUCUAAUGACAUGGAGGGCACACUGUCCUUUUUUUCUGCGAGGAAAUCCAGUUUAGAGGAGUGGAACUUUCUUUCAGAAGGGAUUUAUAUGAUUGAAAGAAUGAAGAGGUCACUAGUUCGGCUGCAGGGUUGAGGGAGGCCCCUUCACUUAGUAUUGAUGUAGAAGACUGUGCUGUGUGGAAGGGUUUUAUUGACGGCAGCUUUAAGGUAUUUGAUAUUUAUAGGUUCACUGAUUCUCUUUUGGGCCCUCAUCUCAAAAUUUGAAAGUUUGUUUGGAAUAAGAGUCCUAAAGUUCAAUUCUUUGGUUGGUUGGCAUAGAGGAAUAGAGUUAAAACAAGGGAUCUCCUACAACAUAUUGGUGUCCUUCAUAACAGUGCUUCUAUCUUAUGUGUCUUCUGCAAAACUAAAAAUGAAUCUGCCUCUCAUGUCCUCUUACAUUGUCCAUUUUUCAUGGAAAGUAUGGUCAGAUUUGCUGCUUUGGUGGGGGUGUUUUUGGGUGGUGCCAAGGUCUAUUGAUUGUUUAUUUCACUGGUGGUUAGGUUGGAAUCAUAAGAAAUUGGUUAGGAGUUUGUGGAGGGCCUUACCUUCUAUUGUUCUCUGGUCCAUUUGGAAGUUAAGAAAUGAUUGUCUAUUUAAUGGAGUGCAGCCUAGUGGGUUUGAGUUAUGUGAGCUUAUAAGUUAAGAUUUGCUCUAUGGAUUAAAGCUUCUGCAAAGGGAUUCAUGUACUAUGUCUUGGGUUUAAUCAAUAAUCUAGAUCAGAUAAAUAACUGAUGUUGAGGGAUAUUUGCUGCUAUUUGGUCUAUUUUCUAUUAUGGUGCUAUUUGGUCUGUUUUUGGUAUGUUUAGCUGCUAUCUGCUGUAGAGGUUGUUUAUGAUAUAGUGGGUAGCAUUUUGGGCUGCUAACUCAUACUUGUUUUACUGACUCAUACUUGUUUUGUUGGUGAGUUUGGUCUACUGCUAUUUGGUGAGUUUUGGUUGCUGCUCUUUGGUCUACCACUUCUUGGUUUGGUAGAUGGACUAUUGCAGUGGUACUAUGGCUGCAAAAUGCCAAAAUUGGAGAAGAAGAUAUGGAUGGUCAAAAUUGGCAAAAUUGGCAACUCUUUGGUAUACAUGGAGGCAUAGAUAUGAAUGUGUUUUCAAUGGGUCUCAACCUGACUUUGAAACUCUAUGUGACCUUGUGAAAGUGAGAAUAACUUUGUGGGUAAAGGUUUGUCUCAGGCCUGGCAGCUUCUGUGAAGGAUUUGGUUUAUAAUAUGCAGCAAGUUAAGUUCUGUAUCAGGCUUGGUGGUUGAAGUAUGUAUAGUUUAGUUCUGCAGCAGCAAUGGUGACUGAGCCUGUGUAAGGCCUGGUUUCUGAGGUAUGAUCUGACCUACCAUAUAGGUGAUCGAGCACCAGAUCAAAGCUAGUGGCGUUGACCCGAAUCCUUGUUUUGUCAAGCCAGCUAUUGUGCCUCAUCGCGAGGUUCCAAACCAACAUGUGUUAAGGCUUUUUGGGUGGUUCAAAUUCACCCUUUUGAUAUUGCUAAGUGAAAAGAGUGUUUUAUGAUUUUUGUUAAUACUGUUUUUAAUAAUGAGAUUUAAUUCCCUAACUUGUGUCUUGUCUUGUAUAUGUGUUUUAUGGACAUAAGUGUUUAUGGAUAUAACUAUGCAUAUAAAAGUUUAUUUCUAUUCA
Non-coding RNA from Camellia sinensis, 4711 nucleotides. NCBI's taxonomy places the organism in Eukaryota, Viridiplantae, Streptophyta, Magnoliopsida, Ericales, Theaceae. The record is from RefSeq and is a predicted model, not a curated record.